Long non-coding RNA from Tachysurus fulvidraco (yellow catfish), 664 nucleotides. RefSeq lists it as uncharacterized. The transcript is spliced from 2 exons. The record is from RefSeq and is a predicted model, not a curated record. Lineage: Eukaryota; Metazoa; Chordata; Actinopteri; Siluriformes; Bagridae.
GUGUCAUAGAGCAUUAGGUGAGCUGAGUGUCCAUGGUUAUUAUAUAACAUGUAUACAUUGUGUUUUAUACUUUAGUAACUUGUAUUAUCACUGUGUAAAGUGUAACACUGAAUGUGUACUUAACUCCUAAUUGAUGGUAACUCCAUAAGAACAUAAGAAACAUAGAGUCAAUAAGUCAAUAAGAACAUGAAAAGUGCGAGUCAGGAAGACAGAAACCCACAAUGGGAGAACACAACCCCGCCGUCGGCUGUCGACCCACUGUCGCAGUGUCCCUGAUGGCUCUAAUUUUGUUUCUUGAAUGCACAGACGUGGACAGGGAAAAUUUAAUUUUUUUUGGGAAUUGCGGUGCUUGGUUUUAUUUUGAAGCUAGUGCUGACCAUCCUGGUCAUGCUCUGAAGAUCAUCAGGAUAAAAACAACCGCAACGUGUUAAUGUUCUCCGAGUUCCAGCAGGAGUCCUGCUCUGGUUCUGUCCUCGCCUUUUCUCUGUGGCUUCACUCACUUUACAAGAAGACGCCAUCAUCUCGUCCAGAUAUCUGAAUAAAGUUAAAGAUGUUCACACUAGACACUGAGGAUCCUCUAAUGAUAGACUUAUAGACUUAAAGAACAUGACAAAGUUCUGCUCAUGACAUCAAUCAGACAAUUAAUAAAUGUUGAUGUACACCA